RNAcentral lists this long non-coding RNA (2330 nucleotides) under Oryctolagus cuniculus (rabbit). RNAcentral's name for it is "lncRNA (ENSOCUG00000036163.1)". Lineage: Eukaryota; Metazoa; Chordata; Mammalia; Lagomorpha; Leporidae. The record is from RNAcentral.
AAAGAGUUUACAGAGAGAGGUAGACACACACACACACACACACACAGAGAGAGAGAGAGAGAGAGAGAAGCAGAGAGAGAGAGGCAGAGAGAGAGAGAGGUCUUCCAUCUACUGGCUCACUCCUCAAAUGGCCACAAUGGCUGAAGCUGGGCCAAUCCAAAACCAGGAGCUUCUUCCAGGUCUCCCGUGCAGGUGCAGGGGCCCAAGCACUUGGGCCGUCCUCCACUGCCUUCCCAGGUGCUUUAGCAGGGAGCUGGAUUGGAAGUGGAGCACCAGGCCUCAAGCCAGUGCCUGUGUGAGAUUCCAGUGCCUGUGUGAGAUGCCAGUGCUGCAGGCCGGGGCUUUAACCUGCUGUGCCACGGCGCCGGCCCCUGAAGCUGCACUUUGAUGGAGGAGAAGGAGGUGUGGAGGAACAGCUGCAGGGGAAGGAGUGGGCAGGGGAGUGGCAGGUGCCCAGCAUGGGGCUGGGUGUGCAGGGCCCUGUUGGCUGCCGUGACGCGCUGGGUUUGUGAUGAAGAACCAUCGAGCGAUGUCCAGGAAGGGAGUGAUGUGGACUUUGUCUACUGAAUACAAGGUGGUCUAUGGAGAAAUGAAACCAGCGGGGAUGGGGUAGUGGAUGCUUUCCAAAGAUGGCCGGGAAGAGUAUCUUCCUCCCCACGUGUGGUUCCUGGACCGCCCAGUGUCUGCCAGGCGAUGACAUCUAAUCGACCCUUGAACUCAGGCAGCGUGCGGCUGGAAUGCAGAGGAAGUGACGCUGGGUGACUUCCACUGUCACGCAGGCCACGGCAGCUGCCCCCUUGCCACUGGGGACUGUGCUGGAGCCCUGAGCUGUGCUGGGCUGGGAGGGGCCCGAGCCACGGGCAGGGGCGCUGAGUGGGUGCUUCGGGUGGCUGUGCCAGCCUUUGAAUUCUCUCACCAGGUGCCAGACACCCGUGCUCAAGCGAGUCUAGCUGCGUCCAGGGGUUCCCGAGGUGCCCUCAGCCUGUGGUCUGAGUCUCAGCUGUGGCCUCCGACGUGUGGGAGCAGACACAGAAGUCCUUGCUGUGUCCGCGUCCCGGAUCUGCAGGCCCCCGAGCCGAUGGGAGCCGCUGUUGUAGGCUCUGGGCCAGGACAGUCAGGAGGCUGCUGGGUGGACGGUGCAAGCUCAGAGGAGCCCCGGAGGACCAGGCGCAUGUGCGGAAGAAGCUGUGAGGGUGACCCUGUGGUGACGUCGGUGGCUGUCCAAGAGGAAGAGAGGCCCGUGCCGCCCUGGACGCCCGAGCCGGGCAGCGGUGCAGCCCGGGGGCCUCACCGGAGGCAUUCCCAGCCCCUGGAGCCGAGAGUGGAAUAAGCUUCUUCGGCAAUUCUUGUCUGUGGGAGUCCCAGAACGGAUUCAGACUGCCCCGUGCCCACCGCCAGCCCCCCGGGGGGCUCAGGGCUGGGAGCCGCGGGCAUGAAGCCCACGGGAGAGGGGCGCUCUCAUCAGCAUCUGCGUGGCGGGGCUGCAGAUGCCGGCGCCAGCACCGUCAGACGCUCAGCGCCUAAUUGGCCGCUGCGGGGCCCUCAUCACCAUUGACCUUAUUUACAGAGUGCCUGACAUCUGAAUGUCAAAUUAGCAUCACUGAGCCUCUCCUCUAAUAAUUACUUUAAUUGUAAAUAGCGCAUUUGCGGCAGGAAAAAUACCAGUGAUUGCGCCGAGACGUGGCUGUGGCUUCCUUCCGCUCCUGGAGACGGGGGCCUGCGGCGUUCCUCCCCUGACGACGGUAACUCCCCUGGAUCUUCGCCCUGGCGGGAGCACUGAGCCAGGAAGAAAGGACACGUGGCCCCCACCAGCAGCCACGUGAGGAGUCCCCGCCUCGGCAGCGCACCUGGCCCCCACCGGAAGGCAAGGGGCCGGCCGUGCCCCAGGGAGCCGGGAGCGGUGAGGUGGAGUGAGGCAGGCGCCUGAGUCAGCGCACUUGGUAGCUCCACGGGACGACGGUGCAGGGGAGGGGCGGGUGCUCUCUAACGUGGCUGCCUCGUUUGGAGGACACCUGGACAGGUGUCGGGCCGAAUUCCCAGCCAGCGCCGUGACUGCGACAGACUCGGGCAGGCCGGGGCCGACCCGGGCAGGCACGGUGGUUGCCCAGUGGGCUCUUUCCGGCUUUUCCGCCCCGCCAUCCUCAGCGUGCAGGCCUCAGUGCGUCCACGGCGGUGUGUGGUUGGCAGGAGGGCAGGGGGGAGCUGUGGGCAGUGGCUGCUGAGGUAGGCGGAGUGGUUGGGGUGCAGCUGACGGCAGAGCAGCAGCCAGCGCUUUUGUAGUGACCUUGGGGAAGAGGAGACACCAGGGCCACCCAUGCCGCGGCUGGGGA